This 279-nucleotide ribosomal RNA is filed under the name uncultured bacterium. RNAcentral describes it as "partial 16S ribosomal RNA". It matches the Rfam family "Bacterial small subunit ribosomal RNA", at positions 506 to 784 of the family's 1533-position model. The record is from RNAcentral.
UGCCAGCCGCCGCGGUAAUACGGAGGGUGCAAGCGUUGUCCGGAUUUAUUGGGUUUAAAGGGUGCGUAGGCGGUCCGUUAAGUCAGUGGUGAAAUCCAGCAGCUCAACUGCUGAACUGCCAUUGAUACUGGCGGACUUGAGUACGGACGAGGUAGGCGGAAUUUAUGGUGUAGCGGUGAAAUGCAUAGAUACCAUAAAGAACACCGAUAGCGAAGGCAGCUUACUAGACCGUAACUGACGCUCAGGCACGAAAGCGUGGGGAGCGAACAGGAUUAGAUA